AAGUCGUAACAAGGUUUCCGUAGGUGAACCUGCGGAAGGAUCAUUAUUGAAUAAACUUGGCUUGCUGAUGCUGGUCUCUCUGGAGGCAUGUGCUCGCUGGUCAUCUUUACUUCUCCACCUGUGCACCCACUGUAGAACUGGGAUUUGGGACUGCUGUGCUUAUUUGCCGGCUUUCCUUGCUUCCCUCCAGUCCUACGUUUUUUUCUUCACAUACACCUAUGAAAUGUAACAGAAUGUAUCACUAGGUCUUUGAACCUAUAAAACAAAUAUACAACUUUCAGCAACGGAUCUCUUGGCUCUC
RNAcentral lists this unclassified non-coding RNA (301 nucleotides) under Simocybe sumptuosa. Its description in RNAcentral is "partial internal transcribed spacer region". The stretch from base 1 to 46 matches the Rfam family "Eukaryotic small subunit ribosomal RNA", at positions 1786 to 1831 of the family's 1831-position model. Lineage: Eukaryota; Fungi; Basidiomycota; Agaricomycetes; Agaricales; Crepidotaceae. The record is from RNAcentral.